GUUCCACAGUUAAAUUCAAGUUUAAGUUCGUCUCUCCUUGACCUUCCAGACAUUGACGAAUUUCCCCUCUGCCCAGACUGCUUGCGAAUGAAGGGAGAAGACUGGGGAAGCAAAGAAAAUCGGGAAACAAGAUUGCGUGGCCUCCCCCAUUUCCUGAAACCAUCAAAAAAGAAGAUGAUUCUAGAAACUCCAGCACAUUUACGAGUCCCCCUCAUGGACUUUAUGCACGACAAGUGGAUACAAUCAAGAGUCAAGAUUCCGAAGGACAUUGUCAGUGAGGACAUUGAAGCAGGUUGGAUAUCUUUUGGAACUCUCCUGGCACAAGGAAACACCACCCACAACUCCAAAAUGGGAGUUCCCAAGCAUGGUUUUCCAGUUUUUUGAUACCACAUCUUCCCAUCAUUGCUACCUCUCACUCUCACAACAAAAUCACCCCCCCCCCCAUCAUCAUCAUCAUAACAAACAUCAUCAUCAUAAUAGUUAACAUUUUAUAGUACUUUAAGACUUACAAAGUGCUUAACAUAUAUUGCCUUAUUUUAUUUUUACAACAACCCUCCAAAGCAAGCACUAUUACUAUCCCCAUUUUAUAGAUGAAGAAUCUAAGACAGGCUGGGUUUAAAUUCAAGUUUGCAAAGUGUGUGAAGCAAGAUUCAACAUCAGGUCUUCCUAAGCACUCUUACCAUCUGACUGACUAUAAAAUGUCCUUGUCCUCAACCAUUCAUCUCUUCUCUUGACCAGUCUACUGCUAUAUUUCUUAUUUAGGGUCAUCCAAAGUCCUUCAGGGUCUGUUCCACUGUAUCCAGCCCACUCAGGCUGUCUCAUCUAGUCGCAUCCCCCCUGCCUCUAGAUCAUAAUUUCAUUGAUGUAGAGAAUUUGUAGUAAAAGCAUCUUCUCUCACAGUAGAUUAACCCGCUCUGCCAUUUGUAGACUACAGGAAUUUCCCAGGAUAAUGGAAAUGUCCAAUUACUUUCUAGAGUCACACCACCAGCAGGUUCAAAAGUGAGAUUAGAACCUAGAACUCCAAAGACAGUUGCACCACACUGUCUCUCUUCUCACCCAUAAAUAUCAAGAUUUCCCCUUCCGGGCCCUCUCUACCAUAGCUGGGCCCCAUCAGUUUCCUGUAAAAAGGGUUAGCAUCAUAGUAGGGACUUGUGUUUUUAUCUGGGGUGAAAUUCCUUUGGGGAAGAAGCAAAGUAGAAGAUCCUCCAAAGGAUAGGCAGUGCCAGUCUCUGUGAGAACCCUCACCUCGAUUCCCAUGUCCUUCAGGACCUAGGUAAUGCUUAGGCUUCUUGGAUCAUAGGAUUUAGAGCUAAAACACACAUUCAGUAUAGUUUAGUCCAAUAAUUGGGUUUUUUUCUUAUUUUUUAAAACUCUUUCCUUCUGCCUUAGUAUUAAUUCUUAGGCAGAAGUGCAGCAAGAGCUAGGCAGUCGGUGUUAAGUGACUUGCCCAGGGUCACACAGCUGAGAAGUAUCUGAGGCCAAAUUUAUACCUCAGUCCUCUAAACUCCAAGCCUCCAUCAGCUGUGCCACCUAGUGCCUCAUUCAUUUAAGAAUAGGGAAUAGAAAUCUAGAAAAGUGAUGUGAGUUACCCAAAGUUGCAUAGAGAAUAAACAGCAGCUGCACCAAUGAACA
Monodelphis domestica (gray short-tailed opossum) is the source of this 1632-nucleotide long non-coding RNA. The record is from Ensembl. Lineage: Eukaryota; Metazoa; Chordata; Mammalia; Didelphimorphia; Didelphidae.